UGAGUGCGAGCGGCUACGGCCGCGAAGUGGGUGAUGUCGAGCUUCCAAGAAAAGCCCUAUACCCGUUAAGGCAUGAUGGCCUGUACCCGAAACCGACACAGGUGGGGUGGUAGAGAAUACCGAGGGGCGCGAGGUAACUCUCUCUAAGGAACUCGGCAAAAUGGCCCCGUAACUUCGGGAGAAGGGGUGCCACCGCAAGGUGGUCGCAGUGAAGAGGCCCAGGCGACUGUUUACCAAAAACACAGGUCUCCGCUAAGUCGCAAGACGAUGUAUGGGGGCUGACGCCUGCCCAGUGCCGGAAGGUUAAGGAAGCUGGUCAGCGCAAGCGAAGCUGGCGACUGAAGCCCCGGUGAACGGCGGCCGUAACAAUAACGGUCCUAAGGUAGCGAAAUUCCUUGUCGGGUAAGUUCCGACCCGCACGAAAGGCGUAACGAUCUGGGCGCUGUCUCGGAGAGAGGCUCGGCGAAAUAGAAUUGUCUGUGAAGAUGCGGACUACGUGCACCCGGACAGAAAGACCCUAUGAAGCUUUACUGUAGCUUGGUAUUGUGCCCGGGCUCUGAAUGCGCAGGAUAGGUGGGAGCUUUGAUCCAUGGCUUGCGGGUCAUGGUGAGCCAACGGUGAGAUACCACUCUUUCAGAGCUAGGGUUCUAACGGUCACCCGUCAUCCGGGGACCGGACAGUAUCAGGUGGGCAGUUUGACUGGGGCGUUCGCCUCCUAAAAGGUAACGGAGGCGCGCAAAGGUUUGCUCAGGCUGGUUGGAAAUCAGCCGACGAGUGCAAAAGCAGAAGCAAGCUUGACUGUGAGACCUACAAGUCGAACAGGGACGAAAGUCGGCUUUAGUGAUCCGACGGUUCUGAGUGGAAGGGCCGUCGCUCAACGGAUAAAAGUUACUCUAAGGAUAACAGGCUGAUCUCCCCCAAGAGUUCACAUCGACGGGGAGGUUUGGCACCUCGAUGUCGGCUCAUCGCAACCUGGGGCUGAAGUCGGUCCCAAGGGUUGGGCUGUUCGCCCAUUAAAGCGGUACGCGAGCUGGGUUCAGAACGUCGUGAGACAGUUCGGUCCAUAUCCGGUGCACGCGCAGGAACAUUGAGAGGAUUUCUCCCUAGUACGAGAGGACCGGGAGGAACGCACCUCUGGUGUGCCAGUUAUCGUGCCAACGGUAAACGCUGGGUAGCCAUGUGCGGAGUGGAUAACCGCUGAAAGCAUCUAAGUGGGAAGCCCACCUCAAGAUGAGUGUUCCCAUGGCAUAAGCCAGUAAGGUCACGGGAAGAACACCCGUUGAUAGGCUCUACGUGGAAGCCGGGUAACCGGUGAAGCGGAGGAGUACUAAUAGACCGAGGGCUUGACC
RNAcentral lists this ribosomal RNA (1349 nucleotides) under metagenome. RNAcentral describes it as "bacterial LSU rRNA". It matches the Rfam family "Bacterial large subunit ribosomal RNA", at positions 1564 to 2925 of the family's 2925-position model. The record is from RNAcentral.